Molecule: transfer RNA, 1066 nt
Filed under: Indochinamon bhumibol
Lineage: Eukaryota; Metazoa; Arthropoda; Malacostraca; Decapoda; Potamidae
Description: tRNA-Ile
Source: RNAcentral
UAAAUAAUUAUGAUAUAAAUUAUAUUUAUUUUAAAUAUUAAUAUAAAAUUAAUUUUAAUUACCCAUUAAUAAAUAAUUUCCAUGUGAUUUUAACUAUAAAAUAAAGAAUUAAACCAGAAUCAAAUAUUAAUUAAAUGUAUAACAAAUAGAAUAAAUCAAUAAGAAAAAAAAUAAAUAAUAAUAUGAAUUAUAAUAAAAAGAAAAUACCUACUCACUAAUCCUACUUAUUUUAACACAUUAUUAUAUUACACCUUCCCCCAUCCUGAUUCUAUAUAGUAUAUUAAUCAAUAAGUUCAUUGAAAAAGUCAAUAUAAUUAAUGCAAUAAAUAAAUGUGUAUCUUUAACUUCAAAAUAUCUAAUUAAAUCUCUCAUAAACCCCCUAGCUCCAGGUUCAUGCCCAUACGUUAUAUCGUGGCUUUAAAUGAAAAAGAUAAAUUAAAGAUACUCAGGAAGAAUUCCAAUAUCAGCUGCUUCACUUUCUCUAAGGGAAAGAGCAGCUGCAUAUUGAAAUUCUUCCUGAUGUUGAAUAAACUUUAAUUUUUAAACUAAAAUUACUAUAAAUUAAAUAUUUUCCACAAAAAAAGAUAAUAGUGAUGAGUUAAAUUAUACUAUUUAUAAUUAAUAUAAAUACGUAUCUUUACCACUAACCAAUUAUAAUGACUUAUAAUUAAAGUACUACUCCUAUAGUUGAUAACUUCUUAUACUUUUGAUCUUCAUUUUUCUUAAAUAAAUGUAAUCGUUUAUCAAUUAUAAUUAAAAUGGUAGAGUAUUAAUAAAGUAUAUGAGAGGAAUACAUAUAUUUAUAUAUAUUAUAUAGUCAUAUAUAUGUAUAUAUAUAUAUAUGUAUAUAUAUAGAUGUCACAUUUUAAUUUUUUUUCACUCCUAUAGGUAAUUUAGCUUAUUUUUAAUCAUAAGCUUUAAUUUUUUCCUAAAAUUUCUUAAUAAUAUAUCUCCUAUUAAAUUAAUUUUUAUACACUUUUAAUAAUCUUUAAUAAUUCUAAAUAUAGUGCCUGAAAAUAAAAGGGUAGCUUUGAUAGAGCUAAUAAUGUGUUUCGCACCUAUAUUA